UGUCAUUGUCCCUGGGUUUCCCAGAGACAACAUUUGAUGAGAAUCCAAUAGCCAUUGGAGCUUUUGCAGCAUUGAAGAAAGGAAUUUUUGUUGCCUGUUCAGCAGGAAAUUCAGGACCACGUCCAUACUCCAUAGAAAAUGGAGCUCCUUGGAUUACAACAGUUGGUGCAGGAACUGUUGAUAGAGAGUUCGUAGCCCGCGUCACCCUUGGCAAUGAAGAGCUAUCAGUUAUUGGAAAAUCUGUGUACCCAGAGAAUCUGUUUGUCUCCAGGGAACCUAUAUACUUCGGAUAUGGAAAUAGAUCCAAAGAAAUUUGUGAAGGUAACUCAACAGACCCUAGAGCAGUUGCAGGCAAGUAUAUCUUUUGUGCAUUUGACUACAAAGGCAACAUAACCGUAAGUCAGCAAUUGGAGGAAGUGCGCAGAACUAGAGCCGCCGGAGCUAUCAUCAGUGCAGACUCAAGGCAAAAUCUGUUUCCCGGCGACUUUGACAUGCCUUUCGUUACAGUAAACCUGAAUAACGGAGAGUUAGUGAAGAAGUACAUAAUCAAUGCGGAUAAUGCAACUGUUAGUAUCAAGUUCCAGAUCACGAUAUUGGGCACCAAGCCAUCUCCACAAGUAGCUAAAUUUUCAUCACGAGGGCCUUCUCUUCGAUCUCCAUGGAUUCUAAAGCCUGAUAUAUUGGCUCCAGGAGUUGAUAUCUUGGGGGCAUGGGUUCCCAACAGGCCUAUAGCUACAAUUCGUGAUAUUGGUAAGCUACUCACUGAAUAUGCUCUCGAAUCCGGCACAUCAAUGUCUUGCCCUCAUGCAGCUGGUAUAGCCACGCUGCUUAAAGCCACCCACCAUGAGUGGAGUUCAGCUGCCAUCCGUUCAGCAAUGAUGACAACAGCUGAUGUUCUUGAUAAUGCUUAUGAUAUGAUCGCGGACAUAUCAACCGGAGUUGCUGGAACUCCUCUUGAUUUCGGUGCAGGGCAUAUAAAUCCCAAUAAGGCCAUGGAUCCAGGACUUGUGUAUGAUAUUGAGGUCCAGGACUAUAUCAACUACUUGUGUGCGUUGAACUACACAAGUCAACAGAUUAGAGUUCUCACAGGGACAUCAAAUUUUACAUGUGAGCAUGGCAAUCUGGACCUAAACUAUCCAUCCUUUAUAAUCAUCUUGAACAACACCAACACUGCAAGCUUCACAUUCAAGAGGGUAUUGACAAAUGUAGCUGUUACGAGGUCUGUAUAUACUGCUGUAGUGAAGGCUCCAGCGGGUAUGACGGUGGCUGUGCAACCAGUAACAUUAUCCUUUGAUGAAAAGCAUAGUAAAGCCGAGUUCAAUUUGACAGUGAACAUUAAUCUGGGGAACGAUGUCAGUCCAAAACGUAACUAUCUUGGAAAUUUUGGGUAUUUGACAUGGUUUGAAGUUAACGGGAAGCAUCAGGUGAGAGGCCCCAUUGUCUCUGCAUUUUCUGUUUCUAAUGGGCAAUGAUAAAUUCACUUUAUUUGGAUUGGAUAACAAGUCAAGUAGCUAAAUGUUGAGAGCAUGUAGCUUCAAGGAAUGAGUCGUAUGGAGUAGUAAAGUUCAGGAUUCUUUACUUAUUUGCACAAAUCACGUCCAUGCAUUUACUAAGGUACAAGUUAAGAUGAGUAAAGAAUCCUUGUCUAUGAAAUUAAACUGGUGUUGUUUUUUUUAAUUAGACCCACCUCUUUUUAUUCUGUACUUUUCUGAAAUGGAAAAUUAACACAAUAGAAAAUCAAAGAAUAAAUAAAUAUAUAAAUGUAGGAUAUAAUCAGUUCAUUCACAAAUUCAGUAGCGUUAUUUUACCAUCUAUUAGUGUUAGAAGAUAUGUUUAGGACUGCUGAUGUGGAAUCAUACAUGUUGCUUAGUUGAAAGUUUCAACCUGUUCCUAUUUUUCUGGUGUUGGUUAUUUCUUUUGUUGUUCUUGUUGUGAUCGUGGCACAAUCUUUGAACCAUGAUUCUAGUGGGCUGUUAUUUGGCUUUGGUGUGUUAUUUAAGCUUUAAAUUGUAAUGUUUUUUAUUUAAUGAAUUGAGUGAAGUUCUCUUGACAAUUACCGUGGCUCUUAUUUCAUUCUGUAAACUUUGUUUUCUUUUCUUAUUCGAGUAACAACAAUUAGCAACUAGGAAUCUUGGGGAAAAAAAAUACUUAUCUUGAUACAGAAGCAGAAGCCCCAUUGUUUAAUAUCACACCAAUGGAAUAAAAUGGGACUGUAGAAAAGAGAUUUAUCAGCUAAUUUCUGGUUAUUUGAUCUUGUCAUUCUGCUUCCGGUUUCUCUUAUGAUUUUCUGGCUAUUAUUUUCCAUGGAAGCCGCGAAAUCGAGCAUCAACAAGAUAGUUACGUUUUGGACUAGCGACAAUGGAAGAUGUGCACAUAUACAUAUAUCGGCCGUUGGCGUUGCAGCGCCCAGAGGUUAAUAGCAAGCGUCGCAGGCUAGCAUGACACCGGACACAAUAGAUGAUAAAACACAAUGUCACACACCCAAGAAAUCACAAGCUCACCACCACAGCAAACAACAAAAGGAUACAGAAAAAAAUUCACCACCUAAAGUUGUUAAGCUAAAGAUACAGGGCUUAAAAUACUCACCACUCAAUGGAAUCUACCAAAGAGAUACAGAGUUUGAUAAUAACUCAAAGUUCAUCCAAUCCCCAAAAUUAAUUUCUAUAUUUUGGUUACAACUACAUAAGCUUAAAUAAUUUUCUUGGAACAAUCCUCCAACCAUAGAUAUACUACAAAGAAGCCCUUCAAAUGACUUGACUUAAAAGACCAACAUUAAAGCUAGACAUUAAUAAAACAUUGGUAUGCUUAAAACACAGCAAAGAGCAUUAAAAAAAAGUCCCAAGUCCAGAAAUAUUCUUCUUGACUCAAAACUGAACAGCCUGCACUUAACUGAUCAUAACUUACUGUAGAAAGCUCCAAAUUUAGAUUAGUAAAAUUCAUUGGAAAGCUAACAGAAAUAUCUUUCCAAUGAUGUAUGGCUCGAAAAUUAAUUCGAUCUCAUGCAGUACAGUUUAAUUUCCAAAGAUGCCCCUUCUGCACAGAAAUUCUGCUCACUUGAUUAAUGUAAGAACUUGAACUGCACUUGGUAUAACUUGAAUACCAAAUAUUUCAAACACCCCUGUGUUAUAGCAGCUCUUCACUUAAUGUUGACAGUAAUUGGUAAGGAUGUUCUGUUUAUUUUCUCUUUCGCCAAGUCAACAAAACACUUUUAUCAUAAGGUUAAUUUUAAGAAAAAUAUGUCUAAUUGCACCUUGGAGCUGAUUAUGAGAGUGAUGUUGCCGGCAAAGCAGUCUUGUAUAUUUUAAAGCAUGCAAAAAAUGAAUCAAAUUUAGUGGAGUAUAAUCAAAUUUCCAUGUAUAAAUUAAUUAAUUUUCUUAUGCGCUGCAGUUUAGACAAAGUUUUGGGUUUCUUUGUUGGGGCUUUGUCUUUUUUGGUCUAUAAUGUGUAUUGUUGUUCUGUGUUUUCAUUAAAUUAUUGUUGGAUAGCACUAAUGUUUGCUUUGAUAUAAACAGAAGCAGAUUUUACAAUUACGCUAUUACGAAUUUUUUAAACCUGAAAUUGCAACCCAAACUGUAAUUGAGUAGGACACGAACCCGAACCGAAUUUGAAGCUGAAUUGAACGCAACCGAACUUGAAACUGAGCCUAACUAAAUCGAAAUAAAUUCUCUAACCCAAACAGGUAGCAAUUCGUAAAAUCGAACUGAAAAUUGAAAUGUCCACCCCUAUCGCUGGGUUUAUGAAACAUUAUGAUAAUAACUGAUUGCUUUGAAUUGUUCUAGUGUGUAAAGCAUUUUCAUUUACUUGUUGGAUAUUAAGAAAUAAUUAUGGUUUGUUUUUUUCUGACAUUUAUUAGCCCUUGCUUCAAUUGAUGUUUGCUUGAAUAGGUGGAGUUUUGACAACGAAAGAAGCAAGGCAGAUGCAAAUGCAAUAAAUCUAUGAUGGACUUGCAUCGAGCAACGGAAUUUCCUGCACUCUUUUAGUUUUUUAAUAAUGGUUGUUGUAAAUGGAAUUAGGAACCUGACCCGAAAUUAGUAACAAAAACUGUUCUGCAACCCAGACCGUGUUUGACCCCGAAUUAACAACCCGAAACUGAACAGAAUUACGAACCUGAAUCGAACCAAAAUAAAUUUUCAACCCGAAUUGAAUAUUGAUAUCAAUUAUCAUACUUUUCUUGGGAUCAGGCUACGGUGCAACUGUGGUACCGUGCCACAGUUGCACCACAGGUUUCCCCCUUUUCCUGAUGUGUGCUCUGAUGCAAUUAACAAGAGCUUCUUGUCGAAGCAUCAUCAUUUUUCUUUUUUGAUGAUAAUAUUUCGACGUGUUUUCACAUUUCUAAUAGGUUCAACCAAUUUGACUCCUUACUCUGCAACUUUGUUGAGUGGAUUUCUUGCUGUGAUAUCUGUAAAUAUAGUUAUUGCAUUUUACAUUUAUAUGGCAAAUGAGGGAACCUUCAGACAAACGUGAGCCAGAUCCUAAAUUUCUUGCCGAGGCCAAAGCUAGUGUAACCCAGUCUACCGGUAAAGCUGAGGUUUCUUCUGAAUCCCUCAAGAAAGAAGUGUAGGAUACCAAAGCCCUGGCCAUUUCACCUUGAGAAAAUUUUCAACUGAAAACGUGCGACCAGGGCCCAUUGUUGAUUGGAUAAAGUUGAAAUAUGCUUGGUUGUCUACGUUUAUUAGCUUCAAAAGUGCCUGAUUUCAGUGUGAACACUACAAUUUUGUGAGAUGCAUGAUUUUGUGGUGAUAACUUAAUUCUUUUUUCUUUUGGGAACAGAACUUUAAUGUGGAUGAAGUGUCAGGGGAGGUGGAAUACUCGUAUAAUAAUAAUAACCUCAUAUGGUGUAAUUAUUGGAAACCAGCCAUGAUUAACGGAUGAGGAUACUCUUCUAUCACUUUAUUAGCUUCAAAAGUGCCUGCAGCCCACACUUUUUUUUUGUUUCAACUUAGAACAAUUUUUUUUUAAAAAAAUUAAAUGUGUUGAUGAGCUCUUGGUUCUAUUCGAUCUUGUGAAAAAUGGUAAUGUAAUGUUGGUCUUGAACCUUCAGUAAUGAAGAUUUAUUCGGGUGAUUGAUAGUUGAACUAUUACAAUUUGAUAAUUUGCAAUGGUUAGAAAAUUUGAGGUUCCAUUUUUGUUUAUCAAGGUUGGGAAAUGGUUUUUCAUUAUAAAUAUUUAAAACAAAUAAAUUGAAUAGUACAACUUCUCAGAGGUUCUCACUACAUGAAUUAUCCAAGAUUAUCCCCUCAAUGCUGCUAUAAUUAAGCUUGCCCCAAUCAUUAUACAUCUUUACAAAAUUUUAAAGAGAUCUAAAGGAUCUUUUUUCCUCAAAUUCCUCUUUGGCCUUAUUCUAUCAUCCCCCCUCUCCCCGUUCUACUUUUGGAAGACCCUGCGUUAUAUCACCAGGUCUCGAUUAUGGAAUUCAUGAAAUCCUAAUCAUUGCAAGUAACUUAUAAUGCAUGUUUCUGAUUCAUCCUUGGAGAAUUAUUAGAUAACCAAAAUUUUAAUGCAACUUUAAGCAUCAUUUGUUUAUUUUUAUGGUCAAUGGAAUAUUCAAUAAAUAAAUGUUUCACUGCAUGAUCAUAUCACACUUCAUUCUUGAAAGAACCUUGGCUGACAGUAAUUAACAUAGAGAUUCAACAAAUAGUGUCGCCCGAUAAAUUUUUGAUAAUAUUGGAAUGCCAUAUUACUUUGGAAAGAUCCACUUGGAAGAAAUAUCUGUAAGCGGCUUGAAAAAUAGCAACUAACUAGUGAAAUAAAGGUAAAAACUUGGCAAGUCUAAUGAAAGUUCAGCAGCUAUAACAUCCACCUAAAUUUAUGAAUCCAUACCAAAAACAUUAGCUAACAACUUCACAUGAAUCCAUGAUUUACAAAAUUGAACUCGUUAAUCUUAAAAUUGUCACUAAACAGAUACAGAGAGGCACAAAUAUUGUCAAUCUGUUAUAUUAAAGCAGAGUUUGGCCUCAUCCCGAGGACCGUUAAUCUCGAAUUUGUAUUCCUGAGUUCAUAUAAGCCAGUACGGACAAUCCACAUUCACAAAAACCAACAUACCUAAAAACAACACAAAAAGAGUAACCGAUGCAGCAUAUGAACAUCAAGCCACAAGCUUCUUUCCUACCAUUUGGUUCUUAUGAAGUUUUAUUAGAUGGUGUUUGGGCAUAACAGUCCAACCGACAGAUCUAGAUUCAAAUGAAUGAAUGCCACGGAAAGUCGCCGAUGAGCUGGCUUAAAAACCUCAAUUUGUUGCCACUGUAUUCUAUUAUGAGGGUGAAAAGUCGAGGACGUGUAGGAUUGGGAUGUCUGUUUUUAUAAACUACACGCAUGUUGCUGGUGGGUCUAUGCAGAGAAUUAAUUGCUGCCACUGACUUGUCGUUGUCUUUUGCCACCAAAUUUUUCAAUCAACUGCCACUGAUUUGUACUAUGAUGAGCUUGGUAAAUUUCUAAUAAUAUUAAUUUGGUGGUCCAGCGCAGAAGAUAUUAACUUGUCAGAUGUAACCAAGUACUUCCUUAGUUUUCCCAAUUCUCUCCUAUUCAGAUAAGCGGGAAAAAAAAAGAAAAAAGGCUCAUCAUAGUACAAAUCUACUAGGAGAGACGAUCAUGACAAGUUUAAAGAAUCCUAUGAAAAGUUUACAUAUGAAGACAAUCAUGCUCAAAUUUGUGGAUGAGUUGUUUGGGGGAUAAAAGAGGCAGCAUGAUUGAAUACGAUUUCGUGCAAAUCAUGCUCCCCUCGACAUUAGAGUUAACAGCUGGCCUCCUCGAGUUGUGAUUUAUAGAAGCUCCUAAGCAAUCUGCUUUAGUCAUUACGUAGCAGGUAGGUCGCUCUGCAGUUUUGCUCGCACAAGGAUCUCACAAGGAGAGACUCAAACAAAAGUCAACCUAAACACUCGGUCAUGAGUCAACUUGAGAAUUUUAGGGUCUAGUGAUGAGUAUAAUUUAUAUAUAUAUUUUAACUUUUAUUAUAUAAUUGUUAGUUAUUUUUAUUUAUUAUUUUUAAUUAAUUGAAUUAUUUUAUUGAAUAGGGAAUUAAUUGGAGAUUAUGGAUAAAAAGUGCAUAAAGAAUAAUAAUUAAACAACAUUAAAGAUCAAAUCAAUUUAUGGAAGCAAUUAAGCAGAUGUGCAUGAUAUUCAAGAUGAAGAAACCGAAGCCAAUAAAUUAAAUCAAUCAUGCUCAUGCAAACCAAGAAGACGUUUAAAGCUAAAGCUCUAAAAGACAUUAUUAAUUGGCCAUGUGCUUUUAAGUCAAACAAGUGGCUUGCUUUCAAACAUUAAUGAGGAAACAAUUAAAAAUAGGCUUGGUGAGCAGGUGAGUGAAGCCAAAACAAAUUAAAAGGCCAAACCUUUUGAUUGUAGAGUUGGAAAAGUCGGUGGGGCUCAUUUUAAAGACUAAGGGUGCGUUUGAGAUUGAGGUGUUGUAGCUUAAAAGGUACAGUUGCUGUGGAAAAAAAGUUGUGACUAUGAAAUAAAAAUUAAUAAUAUGUAGUAAAUAUAAAUUUUAAAUAAUAAUUUUGAUAAAAUUAUUAAAGAUAUAAUAGAUUUUUCAUUAUACAAGUGAAAAAUUAUAUUAACAUAGCUUCCAAGUUACAACAACUAGUAUUUUCCAAACACUUUAGUACUGUACUUUAAAAGCUACAGCUGCCUAACCUCAAUCUCAAACGCACCCUAAAUAUAAAAGCAAGCUUUUGGCUUUUGGAGAAGGGGAGCAGCCGCCAAGAAGAAAAAGAAGCAGGCGCGAUUCGGGAGAGACAGGAGCGGCAGCAACUGUUCAAUUUUUCCCAUGGCUGGGUUUAUUUUAUUUGUUGCUCCCAAUUCAAGUAUGUCUAGUUAAUUUUCUUAUACUGAGGUUAAUGAUGAAACAAUAUUUAAUGAAAUAAUUAUCUUUUUAUUUAAUUAAUUCCCUAUAUAUGUGCUUUAAUGUUUAUGGUUCUUGUUUCACAUGAUUAAUUGGAUGUUAUUAAAAUAUUUUCAUCAAUUCUGUCAUGCAUUAUUGAUUGUUAGGAUUUAUAUUCGAUUAAAUUUAUGCUUGGAUCUAUAAAGUUUAUACAUGAUUAUCUUUGAUUUUAUGUCUUUCAUUAAAUUGUUUACAUAGAGUGCUUAGGAAAACUUUGACUUUCUGUUAUUCAAUAUGUUUACAUGGGAUGCUUAGAUGUCAUACUAUGAAGUAGAAAAAGAACCUACAUUAGAUUUAAUUACUUGGGUUUAAUUGUUAUAUUCAUGAGAUGAUAUAAAUUGAUUUCGAGUUGUCACUCUAAAAUUGGAGAUUAAUUAAUAAUUAGAUAAUUAUUAGUUGAAUAGUGGUGGAUUCUGAAACCUUAGUAAUUUUGUCUUAUUGAAUUCUCAUUUGCUUUAAUUGUUUUCUUAGUUUAAUUAGUUUAAUUUUCUUUAAAAAAACUCAAUUUGCCCAACUAGGUUAGGAUUAAUAUUUAUUUUAGAUUUAAAUUAGACUUUUCAAUUCGUAACAAUCUAUGUAGGUUUAACCUCGUUACCAUUAUUCUAUCUCUAAAUUCUUGCGCUUGUGAGUAUAUUAAAAUUUUUCACAACAUCUCGGUCCUCUAUAAGAACUCUAGAAAAUUUAAAAUCAAGUAAGUUUUCUCUUACUCACAGGAUCUCUGGACUUUCGCUCUUUUCCAACUUUUUCUCAUAUUUACUUUAAAAGUAAUUUUCGAAAGCAUUUGGAAUUAAGUCACAAGAGCUGUGGCAUAAGUUUUUCCUAAAAGACCUAAUUUUUUACUUGAACGUCGAAGAGUUCACGCUGGAAGACACAUCUAAUGUCCCACUAACUGUUUUUGUGAACGCAAGUGUAUUUCAAGUGCUCGUGGUUGCUUGCAUUUGCUCGAAGAAAUGAAGUGCGAGCAAGUAUCGUCUCCCAUAAAAACAAAUUUAAGUAUUGGUGUAGACACCUGCUCGCAACAACAUGGACCAGAUUUUUGCAUCUAACAUGAGUCAUAGAAAAUAAAACAAUAUUCAGUCUCUUGAUGCUAAAUGGCAUUAGCAAGUCAAGGAUCCUUUGUAAAAGGAAGACAUUCAUCCUCAAAUUCUAAUUCAGUAAAUAUUUGCUUUGUCCUUAAUAUAAAUGCAUUUGGAAAGUUGCUCUCUUUCUCACCUGACGAUCCUCUUGCUACCAUAGGUUAAAAAAAGAAAAAAAAAAAGAAAAAAAAAGUUUUAAGAGUUGCUUUCAGUCCCAGAAUUAUUUGAGAGGCCUACUUUUCCCAGAAUUAUUUGAGAGGCUGCUGUUUGACUCAGUCAAUAAUUGCUCCUAUUGAUCUCCAUCGUCCAAUUGGAAUUUCAGUAGUGAGGCAGGAUUGAUGCUUCCAAAAUGAAGAGUAUUAAAAAAGGAAGCAAGAUUAUUUUCACCUUGUUUUCUUCGAACAUUCCAGGCAAGUCGGUCCUUUUUUUUAUUUUGCUUUUUUUUUUCCUUCGAUUUUUCUCUUGAUCUCCACCAUCAAUUUGUUCUUUUCUUCCAACUUUUCUCUUGAUAACUUCAUCAGCGUACAUUAUACGCUUGCGUUUAAAAGGUUCAGUAGGCUUGCGACUGUGAACUGAAGCAGCAAACUGAGUGCAAACCACACUGUUUUUUAGGCAGAAAACGCGCAGGGGAACAGUGAGUACAGCAUGAUGUACAUCUCCCAAUUUGAGAUAUAAGAUCCCCUCUGUUUCAGCCCUGGCUUUGUAGCCAACACGUUCAAUCUUCAAAAGCCAAAAAAAAUUGGCUUCCAUCCCAGUUAAAGUAAAUUUAUCGUGUAAAUUUCCUCAAUAGCCGUCAUAGCAAGUGCUCGGAACCCCAGGUAAAUCAGUCCUUACAAUAGUUUUACCAAAAAAAAAAAAAAAAAAUUGAAAGACAUUGACGUUUUCAAUGCCAAUGAAUUUUACAUGCAUAGCAUGUCUAUACAAGUAUAAAAGAAGCUUUUAGUAUGUAUUUCAAAUGUCAUACCAAUUCAAGUCGGUGACAAGAAUCAUGGGAGCAUUCACAGGCAUCAUUUUGAUGAUCCUCUCUAUUUUACUCUUGGUCUUGUCUGCCGCCUCAGCAUCUAUGUUAAGAGAUCGUAAAACGUAUAUUAUCCACAUGGACAAGUCGGCAAUGCCAGCUCCAUUUUCCACCCACCACCACUGGUACAUGUCCAUUCUUUCAUCCCUUUCUUCACCUGAUGGUGAUGCCCCAACCCAUCUCUACACCUACAACCAUGUCAUGGAUGGAUUCAGUGGCGUGUUAUCGCAGACGCACCUCGACAAACUCCAGAAAAUGCCAGGUCACCUUGCCACGUACCUGGAAACAUUUGGCCACCUGCACACCACCCACACCCCAAAAUUUCUCGGCCUAAAGAAACAAGCUGGGCUAUGGCCAGCUGCAGGUUUUGGUAGUGACGUUAUUGUGGGUGUUAUUGAUUCUGGAGUUUGGCCAGAGAGUCCGAGCUUUAAAGAUGACGGCAUGCCUCCAGUGCCUGAGCGAUGGCGCGGUGCCUGUGAAGUGGGUGUUGAGUUUAAUGCUUCUCAUUGCAACAGAAAACUGAUAGGAGCACGCUCAUUCAGCAAAGGGCUGAAGCACUAUGGCUUGAACAUAUCAACAACAUUUGAUUAUGAUUCUCCGAGAGAUUUCUUGGGUCAUGGGACUCAUACAUCAUCAACAAUAGCCGGCAGUCGUGUUCAAAAUGCUAAUUACUUCGGCUACGCUGAAGGGACUGCAAUUGGAGUUGCACCAAUGGCGAGGAUUGCAAUGUACAAAAUAGCGUUCUACAAUGAUACUCUUGAGGCAGCAGCUGUUGAUGUUUUGGCUGGCAUGGAUCAAGCCAUAGCUGACGGUGUAGAUGUCAUGUCAUUGUCCCUGGGCUUCCCAGAGACAACAUUUAAUGAGAACCCAAUAGCCAUUGGAGCUUUUGCAGCAUUGAAGAAAGGAAUUUUUGUUGCCUGUGCAGCAGGAAAUUCAGGACCACGUCCAUACUCCAUACUAAAUGGAGCACCUUGGAUUACUACAGUUGCUGCAGGAACUGUUGACAGAGAGUUUGCAGCCUACGUCACCCUUGGCAAUGAAGAGCUAUCAGUUCUUGGAAAAUCUGUGUACCCGGAGAAUCUGUUUGUCUCCAGGGAACCUAUAUACUUCGGAUAUGGAAAUAGAUCCAAAGAAAUUUGUGAAGGUAACUCAACAGACCCUAGAGCAGUUGCAGGCAAAUAUAUCUUUUGUGCAUUUGACUAUAAAGGUAACAUAACCGUAAGUCAGCAAUUGGAGGAAGUGCGCAGAACUAGAGCCGCCGGAGCUAUCAUCAUUGCAGACUCAAGGCAAAAUCUGUUUCCCGACGACUUUGACAUGCCUUUCGUUACAGUAAACCUGAAUAACGGAGAGUUAGUGAAGAAGUACAUAAUCAAUGCGGAUAAUGCAACGGUUAGUAUCAAGUUCCAGAUCACGAUAUUGGGCACCAAGCCAUCUCCACAAGUAGCCAAUUUUUCAUCACGAGGGCCUUCUCUUCGAUCUCCAUGGAUUCUAAAACCUGAUAUAUUGGCUCCAGGAGUUGAUAUCUUGGGGGCAUGGGUUCCCAACAGGCCUAUAGCUACAAUUCGUGAUCUUGGUAAGCUACUCACCGAAUAUGCUCUCGAAUCCGGCACAUCAAUGUCUUGCCCUCAUGCAGCUGGUAUAGCCGCGCUGCUUAAAGCCACCCACCGUGAGUGGAGUUCAGCUGCCAUCCGUUCAGCAAUGAUGACAACAGCUGAUGUUCUUGAUAAUGCUUAUGAUAUGAUCACUGACAUAUCAACCGGAGCUGCUGGAACUCCUCUUGAUUUCGGUGCAGGGCAUAUAAAUCCCAACAAGGCCAUGGAUCCAGGACUUGUGUAUGAUAUUGAGAUCCAGGACUAUCUCAACUACUUGUGUGCAAUGAACUACACUAGUCAACAGAUUCGAGUUGUCACAGGGACAUCGGAUUUUACAUGUGAGCAUGGCAAUCUGGAUCUUAAUUAUCCAUCAUUUAUCAUCAUCUUGAACAACAGCAACACUGCUAGCUUCACCUUCAAGAGGGUAUUGACAAAUGUAGCCGAUACCAGGUCAACUUAUACUGCAGCAGUGAAGGCUCCAGUGGGUAUGACAGUGACUGUGGAACCAGCAACAUUAUCCUUUGCGGGAAAGUUUAGCAAAGCUGAGUUCAAUUUGACUGUGAAAAUUAAUCUGGGAAAUGCUUUUAGUCCCAAAAGUAACUUUCUUGGAAAUUUUGGGUAUUUGACAUGGUAUGAAGUUAAAGGAAAGCAUACGGUGAGAAGCCCCAUUGUCUCUGCUUUUGCUAAUAAUUCUAGAGGAGUGACAAUAGUUGAAAAUAUAGCAUAGACAACAGUAGAAAGAAUUCAAGUAAUAAACGACUCUUGGCAAAUAGAAAUCCAUCUUAUGCAGAGUUUGUUAUUCGGACUUCCUGUUAAUGUUGUAAGAAAUGACUAGAUGCUUCAUAAUAGUCUUGAGAAUUUCGUCCAAAAUAUUUCAAGUAAGAAAUGUUUUAGGAAAAUAUUAAGGAAGGUUACUGUGAUAUUCAAUAUUUUUAGAAUAAUUUGGAUAUACUUAUAUUUUUGUCGAAAUGGCAGUAAAAGAGUUCUUUUUUUUUUUUUUUAACUUUACUAUUUGUAUCAUUAACGAUUUCAGAUCAUUUUGCAAACGAAUCAACCAAUAGUGGCUAAAUCUUAAGCUGCUGGCCAGCAAAAUGAAUUAAUGAAAAUAAACAUCAGACCUAGCCAUGAUCAGUCAAUUUAGCGUUUGAUUUAUUAUGUGUUUCAGUUGAAACAUCAUGUACAUACAUACACAUGCAGGCAAAGAAAGCUCCCACUUAUCAGGUGGAAAAACUGCAAAACUAGAAGACACUUGAAUUUACUUGCAGAUAAGACAAAGAAAGAGAUUGAUGUUUUUUCACAUUUCACGUGAGUCUUUAGAUUAUAUAUAAAUGAAUGGUUAGGAUUAAAUUAAUUAAAUAAAAAGUAACAUUUGUUUCUUCUAUUUAUUGUUUUUCUCUCCUCUACUUCCUUUUUUUUUUCUUGUUGGGUCUUCCGUCUCACUUUCCCUCUGUUCUUUAAUUUUUACCAUGACCAUAGACAAAGGGACGUGUGAUUUGAAUGUUUGUCGACGAGGGAACAAUCAAUUUUCAUAUUUCUUUAAAUUUUUAAGGUGAAAUAAACUUUAAUUUCAUUUGAUGACUCUGGUUUGGUAAAAAAUUGUGCAAGAGAAAUUUAUGCAAGUUCAAAGCAACUAUAAUAUAGUUAAGGGAAAUCAAGAGUAAUUAGGGGUGGCUUGAAGUAGAAAAGAAUAAGCCGAUUGCCUAAGGUCCCAAAUUUUAGGAAAACCUAUUAGAUAUCUCUCUAAUUAAUAAUUAACAUGUAAUUAGGAUUUUUUUAAAUUAAAACAAUUUGUAUUUGGUAACCUUAUUGUUAAAGCGAUAUAAUUAAUAAUAUUGUCUAACCAUUAAUUCAUUCAUUAUUAGUUUUUGCAAAAAAUAAAUAAAUUUUUUACCUUUUCGGUUUCUUAAAUAAGCUUAAUUAUUUAACAUUAGAAUUUUUGACUUUUAGCAUUUCUUUUAAUUUCUAUUAAAAACCUUAUAAUCUAAAAAAAAUCAUAGAUGAAAAAAUUUCUUACUCUACAAGGAAAAUUAUUACAUGCAUUAGUUCAUUCAAAAAAAAAAUUUCUUGAAAUACAAAGUUCAUAUCCAUUAUCUGAUCAUCAAUUUAUUAUCUUAACUUUAUAUAUGCUACUAUUCUAAAUAUUCUAUUUCAAAAUAGUAUUGUUCUCAUUUAUUUAUUUGUUUAUUUUUGUAAAACAUUUGAAGCAAGUAAAUUUUAGGUUUUUUUUUUUUUAAUUUUUUAGGAUCUUCUUGAUUAUUUGUUGAAAUUCAAAAAUAAAGAUGAAAUAAAUUUUGAGCUCUUUUAUUUAUUUAUUUUUUUGAGUUUUGAAGUUGUUAGAACAAAAAAAAGCCCCAUAAAAUAAGUUCACCUAAGGGCUUAGAUACUCUACGCUGGCCCAGAAAGAGUAAUGAGUAGAGGCGAGAGGAAAAAAAAAUGUAAAGAUGGCCAUGAAGAUCGUUGAAGAGAAAAAGAAGAUGAUUAAACAAAAUUAAUAGAAUAUUUAAUACGUCCCAUUAAUCUCCACCGUUCAUUUAUCUAUAAUCUAAAAACUCACAAGGAGUGUAAACAACAGUGUAAUUUUAAGCGGCCACUGAUAUGCCUUGAUAUAUGUAUAUUGAUCUCUCUUAAAAGAAAAAAGAAAUUGCAAUAAUAAUAAGAAUUAGCUAAUACAGUAAUCACUCCACAAACAAGUGUACAUGACUGCAAACAUUUUUGAGUAAGUUUUUUAAUAAGAAAUAAAAAGAAAAUUACAGAGUAUGCCUAAGCUUUUCUUCAAAUUUAUAUACUAUGAGCAACACUUUUUUACCUUCCUUGUUCUUUAAUUUAUAGUUCAACACUAUUAAUAUUUUUUUUCUUUUCCUUUUUUACAGAAGAAAGGCUCGAGAGAAGAAUAAGUAGGAAAGAGAGAAAUAAGGAAAAAUAUUAAAAGACAAAAAUAAGAGAGAAAAUAUAAUAGAAUGAAUAUAUAAUAUUUGGUGGGGGCUAAAAUUUAGUAAUUUUUCUUAAAAAAGAAAUCCACAUGUAUAAUAAUUUUAACCAUUGAAUUGAUUAGGAUUUAAAGGUUGAGAUUUUGUGUCAAAAUUUAUAGGAAAAAAAAAAAGACUCUCAAAUCCCAUCCCAUAAUGUUGUAGGAUGGGAAUUACUUUUAGGAGGCUCAAAAGUGACUUUAAAAAUUAAAGAUAAAAACUAAUUUUGAUAUUUGUAUUUUUUUUAAAUCACUUUAGUAAAAUCAUCUCAUGCUACAAUAGAUUUGAAAAGUAUGGAAUGAGUAACUUUCAAAAUCUGAUUUUGAGAUUUAGUUUUAUAUCUUAUAUGAUUUCAUAUAUAUCCUCAUAAAUAUUAUAAAAAUCCAAAAUUAUCCUUAUUAAUUAGGAAAUAAAAUUAUUAACUUUAAAGAGAUUUUUUGUAUUACCAAUUAUAUUGAGAUAACAAAAUAAAAAUAAAAAUAAAAUUAAUAGUAUAAAAUAUUUAUUUUAGUUAUCAAUUAUUUUAGAAACACAACAGAAAAAUAUUUUAUAUGCUUAUUUAUAAAUGUAUAAAUAAGUUUUAUUUAAUAUUAUAUCUAAUUCAGUCUUUUUUUUUUACAACAAUUUAAAAAUAUACAAGAUUCACCAAACAAAUAUGAUUGCUUUUAAUACUCACAAUACUUUUAAAAUUAAAUUUUAUCAAAUAUUUAAUUGAUUAACUUCACAACUGAUUAUUUUUACAACACAGACAAUAUCAAGUAUUUUCAAAGUUACGACAUAUGUAAACUGACCCUAAGAAAAAUAGCCCAAAAUAACUUUUAGAAAUUAGAUUUUUUGAUAAUAUAAUUUUAUAAUAUACAAUACCAAAAAUAACCUUAUUUGUUAUACAUAUUUUUGAAAAUACCCAUUAGGGUUGUUAAAAAUACCCACCCGGCUUGAAUCCAGGCAAGACCGGGGCAAUGUUGGCAAGGUACUACCCGACCUGGGAUGAGGGCUGGCCAGUCUUGGCCAUCAGUUGAUAAGCCCAAGGUCCAGCUUGGAACCUAAAUUUUAUAAAUAAAAAAUUAUUAAAUAUUAUAUUAUUUUAAAUAAUAUAUAUAUUUGACUCAUCUAUUACAUAUAUUUAAAACCUUAAACAUUUAAAGUUCAUAUUUUUAUGUCCAAGAUAGUUACGGUUUGGACUAACGACAAUGGAAGAUGUGCACAUUUGCAUAUAUCGGCCGUUGGCGUUGCAGCACCCAGAGGUCAAUCGCCGGCGUCGCAGGCUCGCAGCUCUCCACUUAAUGUUGACAGUAAUUGGUAAGGAUGUUCUGUUUAUUUUCUCUUUCGCCAAGUCACGAAACACUUUUAUCAUAAGGUUAAUUUUAAGAAAAAUAUGUCUAAUUGCACCUUGGAGCUGAUUAUGAGAGUGAUGUUGCCGGCAAAGCAGUCUUGUAUAUUUUAAAGCAUGCAAAAAAUGAAUCAAAUUUAGUGGAGUAUAAUCAAAUUUCCAUGUAUAAAUUAAUUAAUUUUCUUAUGCGCUGCAGUUUAGACAAAGUUUUGGGUUUCUUUGUUGGGGCUUUGUCUUUUUUGGUCUAUAAUGUGUAUUGUUAGUAAUCUGUUAUACACAUAUGAAGAAUGCUUGUUCAGAAUAACUAACUAGGCCACGUCACCAUGCCACAUCAGCUGAGUAAGUGAAUCUGCUGCAGUCAAGCAUAGCUAAAUAAGCUGCACUCGAAUCCUCUGUUCUUUAUAUUAAGCAGCUUCACUAACAUCAACAAUAUUUGAUUAUGAUUCUCCGAGAGAUUUCUUGGGUCAUGGAACUCAUAGAUCAUCAAUAAUAGCUGGCAUUUGUGUUCAAGAUGCUAAUUACUUCGGUUACGUAGGAGAAGCCAUGGGCGUUGCACCAAUGGCUAGGAUUGCAAUGUAUAAAACUCGGUACUACCAUGACACUCUUCAGGCAGCAGCUGUUGAUGUUUUGGCUGGCAUAGAUCAAGCCGUGGCUGAUGGUGUAGAUGUCAUGUCAUUGUCCUUCGGUUUCCCUGAAACCAUAUUUGACAUAAACCCAAUAGCCAUAGGAGCUUUUGCAGCCUUGAAGGAAGGAAUUUUUGAGGAAUGAAGCAAAUGCUACCUUCAUAUUUGUUGCGAACUUGUAAAUGAAAUGCUAAGGUGGGAAAACAAGUCGCUCAACAGCAGUAGAUUGAUCAAUUAAAUAAAUGAUCUUUCCGUUGAUGUUCAUUUUUGCAGCUAAACAUGUUACUGGUGUUGUGUGCCAUUUUCUUUCAGAUUUGAAAUUUGCUAAUUUAAGCUAUGAUUUUCUCUCUUGUAUUGAUCAUAUCAAAGCUUAGGCUAAUACGAAGAAAGCAUUGACUCCUUUCAGGCCAGAAUGAAGAAUCUGCUAAAGACUAGCUACAGGUUGUGCCUGCAAUUUUUUAGCAAUUUUAGUCCUUGAAUGAGAGAAGAGCAUCAACGUACAUUAGAAAAAUGAUAAUGCUCAAUGGAGACUGUUACUUCCGAUAAACGGCCUGCAAACACUGCUUAUCCUAUAAUGUAAAAUCAGCACUUAUUCACGGUAUCUUACCUCAUAUACUCAUGCUGUUUGUCUCUGGAAUCUGCUAUGCAUCAGCUUCUAAACAGGAUCAUUUUGAAACCCCACAUAAAUGAUAAACCUGACUCUGUUCUCGAGUGCGACUCCUUUAUCAUCUGUCUUUACACUUAAUAAGUUCUACUUUGACAAUGUAAGAGGGGUAUUGGAUUUAAAGUCCACUAUAUCAGUAUAAACCCACUUCAUUUAUUAGUCGUCUCUGAGUUAUUGAGCUAAUUAUAAAUCCUCGCGUUUCAUUAACAAGUAGUCUCUUUAGUGCUCAUUCUUUAGUAAUUCUCAAACCGUAUGUUUCUCUUCAAAUGACCUCGGGUAAAUUGGAUCAUAUAUAAAACAAAACCCAAUUUUCUAGUCAUCAUUUUUUGGAGUUGUUCAGCAGCUGUUUAUUGCUUUGUCCUUUAUUCUAAUAAUAAUAUAAAUGCAUUUGGAAAAUCAUCACUCACUUUCUUACCUGACGAUCCUCUUGCUCCGGUCAAAACAAAAGCUAGACAGUAGCUUUCAGUGCCAGAAUUAUUUGAGAAGCCUGCUUUUUGACUCAGCUCUUCACUUAAUGUUGACAGUAAUUGGUAAGGAUGUUCUGUUUAUUUUCUCUUUCGCCAAGUCAACGAAACACUUUUAUCAUAAGGUUAAUUUUAAGAAAAAUAUGUCUAAUUGCACCUUGGAGCUGAUUAUGAGAGUGAUGUUGCCGGCAAAGCAGUCUUGAAUAUUUUAAAGCAUGCAAAAAAUGAAUCAAAUUUCCAUGUAUGAAUUAAUUAAUUUUCUUAUGCGCUGCAGUUUAGACAAAGUUUUGGGUUUCUUUGUUGGGGCUUUGUCUUUUUUGGUCUAUAAUGUGUAUUGUUGUUCUGUGUUUUCAUUAAAUUAUUGUUGGAUAGCACUAAUGUUUGCUUUGAUAUAAACAGAAGCAGAUUUUACAAUUACGCUAUUACGAAUUUUUUAAACCUGAAAUUGCAACCCAAACUGUAAUUGAGUAUGACACGAACCCGAACCGAAUUUGAAACAGAAUCAAACGCAACCGAACUUGAAACUGAGCCUAACUAAAUCGAAAUAAAUUCUCUAACCCAAACGGGUAGCAAUUCGUAAAAUCGAACUGAAAAUUGAAAUGCCCACCCCUAUCGCUGGGUUUAUGAAACAUUAUGAUAAUAACUGAUUGCUUUGAAUUGUUCUAGUGUGUAAAGCAUUUUCAUUUACUUGUUGGAUAUUAAGAAAUAAUUAUGGUUUGUUUCUUCUGACAUUUAUUAGACCUUGCUUCAAUUGAUGUUUGCUUGAAUAGGUGGAGUUUUGACAACGAAAGAAGCAAGGCAGAUGCAAAUGCAAUAAAUCUAUGAUGGACUUGCAUCGAGCAACGGAAUUUCCUGCACUCUUUUAGUUUUUUAAUAAUGGUUGUUGUAAAUGGAAUUAGGAACCUGACCCGAAAUUAGCAACAAAAACUGUUCUGCAACCCAGACGGUGUUUGACCCCGAAUUAACAACCCGAAACUGAACAGAAUUACGAACCUGAAUCGAACCAAAAUAAAUUUUCAACCCGAAUUGAAUAUUGAUAUCAAUUAUCAUACUUUUCUUGGGAUCAGGCUACGGUGCAAUUGUGGUACCGUGACACAGUUGCAUCCAACCGUUGGAUGCACUUAAAUUGAUGGGGUCCACUGGCAUCCAACGGCUGGAUGCAACUGUGGCACGGUACCACAAUGGCACCACAGGUUUCCCCCUUUUCCUGAUGUGUGCUCUGAUGCAAUUAACAAGAGCUUCUUGUCGAAGCAUCAUCAUUUUUCUUUUUUGAUGAUAAUAUUUUUGACGUGUUUUCACAUUUCUAACAGGUUCAACCAAUUUGACUCCUUACUCUGCAACUUUGUUGAGUGGAUUUCUUGCUGUGAUAUCUGUAAAUAUAGUUAUUGCAUUUUACAUUUAUAUGGCAAUGAGGGAACCUUCAGACAAACGUGAGCCAGAUCAUAAAUUUCUUGCCGAGGCCAAAGCUAGUGUAACCCAGUCUACCGGUAAAGCUGAGGUUUCUUCUGAAUCCCUCAAGAAAGAAGUGUAGGAUACCAAAGCCUUGGCCAUUUCACCUUGAGAAAAUUUUCAACUGAAAACGUGCGACCAGGGCCCAUUGUUGAUUGGAUAAAGUUGAAAUAUGCUUGGUUGUCUAUGUUUCUAUAUUGUCAUGUCAGACUUUCAGUGUCAACACUACAAUUUUGUGAGAUGCAUGCAUGAUUUUGUGGUGAUAACUUAAUUCUUUUUUCUUUUGGGAACAGAACUUUAAUGUGGAUGAAGUGUCAGGGGAGGUGGAAUACUCGUAUAAUAAUAAUAACCUCAUAUGGUGCAAUUAUUGGAAACCAGCCAUGAUUAACGGAUGAGGAUACUCUUCUAUCACUUUAUUAGCUUCAAAAGUGCCUGCAGCCCACACUUUUUUUUUGUUUCAACUUAGAACAAUUUUUUUAAAAAAAAAUUAAAUGUGUUGAUGAGCUCUUGGUUCUAUUCGAUCUUGUGAAAAAUGGUAAUGUAAUGUUGGUCUUGAACCUUCAGUAAUGAAGAUUUAUUCGGGUGAUUGAUAGUUGAACUAUUACAAUUUGAUCAUUUGCAAUGGUUAGAAAAUUUGAGGUUCCAUUUUUGUUUAUCAAGGUUGGGAAAUGGUUUUUCAUUAUAAAUAUUUAAAACAAAUAAAUUGAAUAGUACAACUUCUCAGAGGUUCUCACUACAUGAAUUAUCCAAGAUUAUCCCCUCAAUGCUGCUAUAAUUAAGCUUGCCCCAAUCAUUAUACAUCUUUACAAAAUUUUAAAGAGAUCUAAAGGAUCUUUUUUCCUCAAAUUCCUCUUUGGCCUUAUUCUAUCAUCCCCCCUCUCCCCGUUCUACUUUUGGAAGACCCUGCGUUAUAUCACCAGGUCUCGAUUAUGGAAUUCAUGAAAUCCUAAUCAUUGCAAGUAACUUAUAAUGCAUGUUUCUGAUUCAUCCUUGGAGAAUUAUUAGAUAACCAAAAUUUUAAUGCAACUUUAAGCAUCAUUUGUUUAUUUUUAUGGUCAAUGGAAUAUUCAAUAAAUAAAUGUUUCACUACAUGAUCAUAUCACACUUCAUUCUUGAAAGAACCUUGGCUGACAGUAAUUAACAUAGAGAUUCAACAAAUAGUGUCGCCCGAUAAAUUUUUGAUAAUAUUGGAAUGCCAUAUUACUUUGGAAAGAUCCACUUGGAAGAAAUAUCUGUAAGCGGCUUGAAAAAUAGCAACUAACUAGUGAAAUAAAGGUAAAAACUUGGCAAGUCUAAUGAAAGUUCAGCAGCCAUAACAUCCACCUAAAUUUAUGAAUCCAUACGAAAAACAUUAGCUAACAACUUCACAUGAAUCCAUGAUUUACAAAAUUGAACUCGUUAAUCUUAAAAUUGUCACUAAACAGAUAAAGAGAGGCACAAACAUUCUCAAUCUGUUAUAUCAAAACUGAGUUUGGCCUCAUCCCGAGGACCGUUAAUCUCGAAUUUGUAUUCCUGAGUUCAUAUAAGCCAGUACGGACAAUCCACAUUCACAAAAACCAACAUACCUAAAAACAACACAAAAAGAGUAACCGAUGCAUAUGAACAUCAAGCUACAAGCUUCUUUCCUACCAUUUGGUUCUUAUGAAGUUUUAUUAGAUGGUGUUUGGGCAUAACAGUCCAACCGACAGAUCUAGAUUCAAAUGAAUGAAUGCCACGGAAAGUCGCCGAUGAGCUGGCUUAAAAACCUCAAUUUAUUGCCACUGUAUUCUAUUAUGAGGGUGAAAAGUCGAGGACGUGUAGGAUUGGGAUGUCUCUGUCUGUAUGUAUAAACUACACGCAUGUUGCUGGUGGGUCUAUGCAGAGAAUUAAUUGCUGCCACUGACUUGUUGUCUUUUGCCACCAAAUUUUUCAAUCAACUGACGAAUGCGGGAGCUUGGUAAAUUUCUAAUAAUAUUAAUUUGGUGGUCCAGCGCAGAAGAUAUUAACUUGUCAGAUGUAACCAAGUACUUCCUUAGUUUUCCCAAUUCUCUCCUAUUCAGAUAAGCGGGAAAAAAAAAAGAAAAAAGGCUCAUCAUAGUACAAAUCUACUAGGAGAGACGAUCAUGACAAGUUUAAAGAAUCCUAUCAAAAGUUUACAUAUGAAGACAAUCAUGCUCAAAUUUGUGGAUGAGUUGUUUGGGGGAUAAAAGAGGCAGCAUGAUUGAAUACGAUUUCGUGCAAAUCAUGCUCUCCUCGACAUUAGAGUUAACAGCUGGCCUCCUCGAGUUGUGAUUUAUAGAAGCUCCUAAGCAAUCUGCUUUAGUCAUUACGUUGCAGGUAGGUCGCUCUACAGUUUUUCUCGCACAAGGAUCUCACAAGGAGAGACCCAAACCAAGUCAACCUAAACACUCGGUCAUGAGUCAACUUGAGAAUUAUAGGGUCUAGUGAUGAGUAUAAUUUAUAUAUAUAUUUUAACUUUUAUUAUAUAAUUAUUAGUUAUUUUUAUUUAUUAUUUUUAAUUAAUUGAAUUAUUUUAUUGAAUAGGGGAUUAAUUGGAGAUUAUGGAUGAAAAGUGCAUAAAGAAUAAUAAUUAGACAUCAUUAAAGAUCAAAUCAAUUUGUGGAAGCAAUUAAGCAGAUGUGCAUGAUAUUCAAGAUGAAGAAACCGAAGCCAAUAAAUUAAAUCAGUCAUGCUCAUGCAAACCAAGAAGACGUUUAAAGCUAAAUGUCACGGGAUGAGUGUUUUGCGCAGCUAACCCGUGCGGCACUUAGACAACUUUGCCGAAUGUUGCUAAGUAAGCCUAGAGAUUCUCGAACAAGAGAAGAGAGAGCAAUUGAGCCAAAGAAACUUGUAUUGCACAAAGAGAGAUUACAAUGCUUGUUGGAUACAAAUGCCAAAUGCCAUCCCAUAUUUAUAGGGGAGGCUUUACCUAACUUUUGCCUAACUUUACCUAACUUUGCCUAACUUUGACAAACUUGGUCAAACUCUAGAAUAUUAUACAAUUUCCUAGCUAUUUACAUGUGCUGGAAUUGUAUUAGGUAUUCUAGAAUAUUUACAUGUUCACAUGUGCUAGAGUUGCCUAGAACCUUCCGGAAUUGGGCCAAGCUAGCACUCUUGGCCUUGUGUUGGCUCUCUAGCCCGAAAUUGUGGCCAAUUGGGCUAGCGAAUUGGGCGGUCCGUAACAUCCUCCCCCACUUAAGCUCGCGGCGUCCUCGUCGCGCUUUCGUGCAUGAAGUACUGGAUGUGCUCAGCGAAUUGCCACAAAUCAUCUUCCCGUUCCCAAGUGGCUUCGCUCUCGGGGAGGUUUUUCCACUUCACCAAGUACUCGCUAUGUGCUGGCACGCCCCUCCUCGAAACCGUUCGGUCCGCAAUGAUGUAGUCCACAUCUUUGUCGAAUGCGGUGACAACGGUAGUUGGCGCGCGCCUCGAUUCUCCGCGACUUGGUUCUCCCAUGUCUUCGUGAUAUGGCUUGAGAAGGCUCACAUGGAAGACCGGAUGGAUCUUGAGUCUUGGCGGAAGUUGGAGUUGAUACGAGACGUUGCCUACACGUCGAACAACUCGGAAGGGUCCCUCGUAGCGCCUCACUAACCCCUUGUGAACUUUCCGCAAAGUCUUGAAUUGUUGGGGUAGGAGCUUGAUCAUGACUUGAUCACCUUCCUUGUACUCAACAUGCCGUCUCCUUGUAUCCGCCCAUUUCUUCAUUUUCCUCGCGGCUUUGUCGAGGUAGGCUCGCGUGAUGUCCGCUUCCUCAUGCCAUUCGCGGGCGAGCUUGUGUGCCGCGGGGCUUUUCCCUCCGUAAGUCGAGGCUAUGGCAUUGGGGGUCAUGGGCUGGAAUCCCAUGAUGAUCUCGAAUGGACUCUUGCCCGUAGCCUCGCUUCGCUGCAAGUUAUAAGAAAAUUGGGCGAUGUCGAGUAGCUUCGCCCAAUCCCGCUGGUGUGCGCUCACAUAAUGCCUCAGGUACAUCUCGAGGAGGCCAUUAAUGCGCUCGGUCUGCCCAUCCGUUUGUGGGUGGAAGCUUGUCGAGAACUUGAGAUCGGUCCCCAACAUCUUGAAGAGCUCCGUCCAAAAACGCCCAGUGAACCGAGGGUCUCGGUCGCUCACAAUGCUCUUCGGAACUCCCCAAAGCUUCACAAUGUGCUUGACGAAUAGGCGGGCUGCCUCAUCCGCUUUGCAAUCGACGGGUGCGGCAAUGAAUGUAGCAUACUUGCUGUAUCGGUCGACAACGACCAUGAUGCUACCGCAACCUUCGGACUUGGGCAGCGAUGUGAUGAAGUCCAUGGAGACACUCUCCCAUGGCCUUGUUGCUAGUGGUAGCGGCUCUAACAAUCCCGCUGGAAGUUGAUGAUCCACCUUGUCUUGUUGGCACACAAGACAAGUUCGCACAUAUGCCUCGAUGUCGUCCCUCAUGUGCGGCCAGAAAUACGAGGCUUGGACUAGUGCGGUGGUGCGCUCAAUUCCUGGGUGACCAGCCCACUUGGAGUCGUGGCACUCCUUGAUUACUUCCUUCCGUAAAUUUCCCCACCUUGGCACGAACAGCCGAUCUCCCUUGGUGAGGAGGAUGCCUUCCUCUUGCCAAAACCGCCUUGUCUUUCCCUCGAGCACCUUCUCCAGCAAAUCCUUUGCUAGCGGAUCUUGUUGGAGGCCUUCCUUGAUGCGUAAGACAAGGUCAGACUUCGGUUGGCUCAUGCUAAGUGUCGCCAAUUCGGCCUUGCGGCUUAGAGCGUCCGCAACGACAUUGGCUUUCCCCGGUUUGUACUCCAGCCGAUAGUCGAAUUCCGCAAGGAAAUCUUGCCACCGUGCUUGCUUCGGACUCAACUUCUUCUGAGUUUGAAAGUAGCUUGUCGCCACGUUAUCCGUCAUAAUCGUGAAGUGCGAGCCAAGCAAGUAAUGUCGCCACACCCGCAAGCAAUGUAUGAUUGCGGUCAUCUCCUUCUCUUGCACCGUGUAACGGCGUUCCGUGUCAUUUAGCUUUCGACUCUCGAACGCUAUUGGGUGGCCUUCUUGCAUAAGGACUCCACCUAUGGCGAAAUCCGAGGCAUCCGUUUGAACUUCAAAGGGCUUGGUGUGGUCCGGAAGAGCGAGGACUGGUUCCUCCGAAAUUGCCUUCUUCAACUUCUCGAAGGCACGUUGGCACUCUUCGGACCAAUGCCAUGUUCUGUUUUUCUUGAGCAUAUCCGUUAAAGGUGCCGCCUUAGCUGAAUAGCCCUUGAUGAAGCGGCGGUAGUAAUUCACCAGUCCAAGGAAUGAGCGAAGUUCGGGUACUUUCGAGGGAGGCUCCCAAUCGAGGAUGGCCUUUACUUUGUCAUUCUCCAUCAUGAUCUUCCCGCCCGCAAUCUUGUGGCCAAGGAACUCCACCUCUUGUUGGGCAAACGAGCACUUCUCUAGUUUGAGGAAGAGCUCAUUGUCUCGAAGUACUUGGAGGACUUGUUGCAAGUGUUGGGCAUGCUCCUCGAGCGUGGUGCUAUACACCACUAUGUCAUCCAAGUACACGACCACGAAGCGGUCGAGGAAUGGUUGGAGCACCUUGUUCAUGAGUGUGCAAAAUGUGGCGGGUGCAUUAGUAAGGCCAAAAGGCAUCACAAGGAAUUCGAAAGACCCGUACCUUGUUGUGCACGCUGUCUUUUGUUCAUCUCCCUUGGCGAUGCGUACUUGGUAGUACCCGGAGCGCAAGUCAAGUUUGGUGAAGUACCGCGCUUUACCAAGCUGGUCGAACAAGUCCGCAAUCAAGGGAAUCGGAUACUUGUUCUUGAUGGUGAUCUUGUUGAGCGCUCUAUAGUCGAUGCACAUCCGCAGCGAUCCAUCCUUUUUCUUUUGGAAGAGGACCGGGGCACCGAAUGGGGCCUUUGAGGGGCGAAUAUAGCCUGCGUCCAGUAAGUCUUUGAGUUGUCUCCGCAACUCCUCUAAUUCGGGUGGCGCCAUGCGGUAGGGCGCCAAGGCUGGUGGCUUCGCGCCUUGUUCCAGCUCGAUCGCAUGAUCCACCUCUCGCAGAGGUGGGAGCUUCUUCGGAAGUUCUGGAGGCAUCACGUCCUUGUACUUAUUGAGGACGGCUUGAAUUUGCUGAGGGACUUGGCUUGGCGAAGUUCCGCUAUUUCCUUCCUCAUUUAGUUCCCGAAUGGAGACUAAGAAGCUUGGGUCCUUCUUGAAAGCCUUCUUGAAUUGCAUGGCGGAGAGUGUCUUCUCUUCGGACUUGCCUCGUUCCGUGGGAACCAUGCAUGCCUUACUCCCGUCGAGGAUACUUAGGGAGUUUGUAGCGGGCAGCGGGAAGGCAUGGACUUGGUCGAAGAAUUCCAUGCCGAGGACCAUCUUGAAGUCAUCCAUGGGCACAAUGGAGAAGUCAAGCUUUCCGCUCCACGUACCGAGUGUGAUGUGCAUGCCUUGUGCAAUUCCCGCAAUUGGCUUGGCGGGUGAGUUCACAGCCUUCAUUGUGCCUCCUUCCUUGGUGGCCUUGAGGCCUAAGCGCUUGGCCUCGUCUACGGACACAAAAUUGUGUGUUGCUCCCGUGUCUAGCAGCGCGCGAACGGACUGACCGUUUACCUUUGCGCUUACAUACAUGAGCCCUUUCUUGACAAGUGCGGGCUGUUGGCGAUUGAGUGCGCCGAGGCGUUGGAGAGAACCCAUGCUGAGUUGGGGUUCCUCCGUGGACAUUGUGGGGUUGCUCUUGAGUUGGGCAGCAAGAGCAUUAAGCGACCUCUUCUCCGGACAGUCGCGCACCCAAUGAGGACCAUUGCAUAUGAAGCAUGGGCUUCGCGGCUUUGGCGCCUCCUUCUUGCCCUCCGAUUUUCCUUGCCAACUCUUGUUGCUAGGCGGCUUUUUCUGCCCCCAAUCUUUGCGGUUGUUGCCCUUGUCCUUGCGACUCUCUCCCCCACCUUUGCCUUGGUUGGCCUUUUUGUCCUUGGAUUGGGUAGAGUAUUCAGUGAGCGACUCCGCAACGGCAAUGGCGUCGUCAAGUGUUUGAACACCACGCCUAUCAAGCUCGGUCUUGGCCCAAUCCUUGAGGCCAUCUUGGAAGUAGAAGAGUGAAUCCUUGUCGGACAUGUCGCUUAUCUCCAACAUGAGGGUAGUGAACUCGUUGAUGUAGUCCCGAAUGCUACCCGAUUGCUUGAGGCGACGUAAGCGCACUCGCGCUUCUUUCUCCGCAUUGCUUGGGGCGAACUGCUUUCGGAGUUCUUGCUUGAAGUCGGCCCAAGUGUCGAUGGUGCAAAUGCCCUUGCCCAUCUCGCCAUGCUUGCGACGCCACCAUAGUUGUGCAGCGCCUCUAAGAUAGGUAGGUGCAGUGCCCACUUUCGAUGCCUCAUCUCGGACACCCAUGGCAUCGAAGUAUUGAUCCAGCCCAAAGAGGAAAUUGUCCACGAUGGUGGCAUUGCGUGUGCCAUCGUAGGUGUCGGGCUUUGGCACGUCAAUGCGGCGCGCAUCACUCGAGUUUGCGGAAGCUGGACUUGUGGAGAGUGUGCGCUUGUGCCAUGCCCAAUCCGAGCGGACUUCAUCCACUUCCGCACGGACAGCACGUAGUUCGUCCUGAACAAAACUACGAAGUUUGAGCAACUCAUCAUGGAAAGAACGAAACUCACCUCGGAGAAUGUUUGCUUGCUCAUGGAUGAGAGCUUUUGUGGCCACCGUGAACUCGGCGUAUUCUCCCUCGAGACCAUCCACUCUUUCCUCCAAUCCCACGAGGCUAUCUUGAGUGGCGGACAAUGCUAUUUCGAGAGUGCCUACACGAGGCUCCAACGCAUCCACGGAUAGGGCCUUGGACUUGCCGCGAGUCUUGCCUUGGGCGCGUUCUCCCUCUCGGCCGCGGCUUGGUUCCGGUGGAACAUCCACACCAACAACACCCUCUUGUGCUACGUUCGAAGGGUUGGCCAUUGCUUCGUGAGCUAAUUUGCGUGCGUGCAAACCUUAGCUCUGAUACCACUUGUCACGGGAUGAGUGUUUUGCGCAGCUAACCCGUGCGGCACUUAGACAACUUUGCCGAAUGUUGCUAAGUAAGCCUAGAGAUUCUCGAACAAGAGAAGAGAGAGCAAUUGAGCCAAAGAAACUUGUAUUGCACAAAGAGAGAUUACAAUGCUUGUUGGAUACAAAUGCCAAAUGCCAUCCCAUAUUUAUAGGGGAGGCUUUACCUAACUUUUGCCUAACUUUACCUAACUUUGCCUAACUUUGACAAACUUGGUCAAACUCUAGAAUAUUAUACAAUUUCCUAGCUAUUUACAUGUGCUGGAAUUGUAUUAGGUAUUCUAGAAUAUUUACAUGUUCACAUGUGCUAGAGUUGCCUAGAACCUUCCGGAAUUGGGCCAAGCUAGCACUCUUGGCCUUGUGUUGGCUCUCUAGCCCGAAAUUGUGGCCAAUUGGGCUAGCGAAUUGGGCGGUCCGUAACAUAAAGCUCUAAAAGACAUUAUUAAUUGGCCAUGUGCUUUUAAGUCAAACAAGUGGCUUGCUUUCAAACAUUAAUGAGGAAACAAUUAAAAAUAGGCUUGGUGAGCAGGUGAGUGAAGCUAAAACAAAUUAAAAGGCCAAACCUUUUGAUUUUAGAGUUGGAAAAGUCGGUGGGGCUCAUUUUAAAGACUAAAGAUGCGUUUCAGAUUGAUGUGUUGUAGCUUAAAAGUUACAGUUGUUGUGGAAAAAAAGUUGUGACUAUGAAAUAAAAAUUAAUAAUAUGUAGUAAAUAUAAAUUUUAAAUAAUAAUUUUGACAAAAUUAUUAAAGAUAUAAUAGAUUUUUCAUUAUACAAGUGAAAAAUUAUAUUAACAUAUCUUCCAAAUUACAGCAGCUAGUGUCUUCCAAACACUUUAGUACUGUACUUUAAAAGCUACAGCUACCUAACCUCAAUCUCAAACGCACCAUAAAUAUAAAAGCAAGCUUUUGGCUUUUGGAGAAGGGGAGCAGCCGCCAGGAAGAAAAAGAAGCAGACGCGAUUCGGGAGAGAUAGGAGCGGCAACAACUGUUCAAUUUUUCCCAUGGCUGGGUUUAUUUUAUUUGUUGCUCCCAAUUCAAGUAUGUCUAGCUAAUUUUCUUAUACUGAGGUUAAGGAUGAAACAAUAUUUAAUGAAAUAAUUAUCCUUUUAUUUAAUUAAUUCCCUAUAUAUGUGCUUUAAUGUUUAUGGUUCUUGUUUCACAUGAUUAAUUGGAUGUUAUUAAAAUCUUUUCAUCAAUUCUGUCAUGCAUUAUUGAUUGUUAGGAUUAAUAUUCAAUUAAAUCUAUGCUUGGAUCUAUAAAGUUUAUACAUGAUUAUCUUUGAUUUUAUGUCUUUCAUUAAAUUGUUUACAUAGAGUGCUUAGGAAAACUUUGACUCUCUGUUAUUCAAUAUGUUUAAAUGGGACGCUUAGAUGUCAUACUAUUAAGUAGAAAAAGAACCUACAUUAUAUUUAAUUACUUGGGUUUAAUUGUUAUAUUCAUGAGAUGAUAUAGAUUGAUUUCGAGUUGUCACUCUAAAAUUGGAGAUUAAUUAAUAAUUAGAUAAUUAUUAGUUGAAUAGUGGUGGAUUCUGAAACCUUGGUAAUUUUGUCUUAUUGAAUUCUCAUUUGCUUUAAUUGUUUUCUUAGUUUAAUUAGUUUAAUUUUCUUUAAAAAAACUCAAUUUGCCCAACUAGGUUAGGAUUAAUAUUUAUUUUAGAUUUAAAUUAGACUUUUCAAUUCGUAACGAUCUAUGUAGGUUUAACCUCGUUACCAUUAUUCUAUCUCUAAAUUCUUGCGCUUGCGAGUAUAUCAAAAAUUUUCACAACAUCUGGGUCCUCUAUAAGAACUCUAGAAAAUUUAAAAUCAAGUAAGUUUUCUCUUACUCACAGGACCUCUGGACUUUCUCUCUUUGCCAACUUUUUCUCAUAUUUACUUUAAAAGUAAUUUUCGAAAGCAUUUGGAAUUAAGUCACAAGAGCUGUGGCAUAAGUUUUUCCUAAAAGCCCUAAUUUUUUACUUGAACGUCAAAGAGUUCACGCUGGAAGACACAUCUAAUGUCCCACUAACUGUUUUUGUGAACGCAAGUGUAUUUCAAGUGCUCGUGGUUGCUUGCAUUUGCUCGAAGAAAGGAAGUGCGAGCAAGUAUCGUCUCCCAUAAAAACAAAUUUAAGUAUUGGUGUAGACACCUGCUCGCAACAACAUGGACCAGAUUUUUGCAUCUAACAUGAGUCAUAGAAAAUAAAACUGUUUGGGAGAGAUACUGUUUGUGAUAAAUACGUCGACGAGACCAGGAAUGACGAGCAGAUAUCUGAUGGCGGAGUUCUGCGAACCGGUGUGUUCCGUAAAAGCCUGGUGCGCGGAAGAACAGGAGCAGAAAUAUCCUGCUCGUCCACGAUGUUGUCAUCCGCGAGGCCAAUUCCCUAUAAAAGGCAUAAGGCCACUCCGGCUAGAGGUCAAGAGGCGAGGAGACCCGGUCGACGGCAGUUGGCAAGACGUGCUCUCCAGCACGAGAAUCUAGGCACAACAGCCACGCUUUCCCCAGAACCGUGGCGUAACACGCAAGAUCUCACAGAACCAUGACAGCCACGCUUUCCCCAGAACCGUGGCGUAACACGCAAAGUCUCACAGAGCCAUGACAGCCACGCUUUCCCCUGCACCGUGGCGUAACACGCUAGAUCCCACGUUUGCCCAUAACGCAGCAGUUGGAGUCCCAUACCGUCGGGAAAAGGGCGGAAGACUGAGAUUCAGAGGAAGCCUAUAAAAAGGUAGCCAACGAAGGUAAAAGGGUUGGCAUUUUUGAGAUAGAAGAAAAAAACCACGAAAAAGCCAUAAGACCUGUGGCAAGCGUUCCUUGAACCUUCAUAUCUGACUUGAGCGUCGGAGGGUUUGCGCCGGGGGAACAACCGGCGUACUCUGACUUGUCUGUUUGUGCAGGGACAUCCGGAGAAGAAGCAUUACUAGGAGACCUCCUGGUCGUGGUGAAGUUGAUCGAGCAGAGAUCCUGGUCGUGGAACGAGGAGAACCGGAAUCUCGCAUCAACAUUUUGGCGCCGUCUGUGGGGAACCAGAGCAAAAAGCUUCUGUCGAUAGCAAGAAGAGGGGUGGAGUAAGCGAAAGGCAAUGGAGAUAGGAGGAAGUAGCGCACAAGGGGGUGACAUGAGGCUUAACGAUUCCGUGACGCUGAGGGAGGUAAUCAGCGAAGCACGGGAAAAAGUCAUGUUCGACCGAAUGGAACGAAUGGAAAAGCAGAUGGAAACCUUGACAACCAUCCUGCAUGAGCUGCGGAACGAGCAUAGAGUAACCCAAGAGGGAAGGGUGAGAGGCGGUGGAGCGGCACCAGGUCCCGAUAGUGCGGGGAGAAGUCAAACCGCAGGGAGAUUUGGUGGUGAGAGAGGUAACGUACCCCUGCGGGGAGAAUUUCAUAGAGAAAUAGAGCAGUCCCCGGCAAGACAGACUUGUGACGAGGGCGACGGGGUGGUGAAUGCAGAGGAAACAGAGCUGAGGCAACACUUGCAUGAUGUAGAGCGAGAGCGGGAUCAAGUCGCAGCACGUGACCCUGGUCGUGCAGGGCAGCUGAAGGAGGAAGUGCGAAGGCUAGCGCAAAUAAUUGACGACAUGCAAGGGAGGAACAGAGCCCCUGGUUGGAGGAUAAUGCUGGACGGAGAAUCACCGCUCGCAGCAGAGAUCAUGAGGGCAGUUAUUCCGAGAGAUUUCCGCCUCCCCGACCUCAGAUACUCGGGAAGAACUGAUCCGCUGAUGCACAUAGAGCGCUUCAACGACAUGACGGGGGUACAGGGAUUAUCUCCAUCCCAAAGGUGCAGGGUGUUCCCACUAUCCCUUGAGGGACGUGCACGAGAAUGGUACAGGAAACUUCCUCGGGGCAGCAUUAAAACCUUCGAGCAGAUGUGCCAGGAAUUCGCAGAGCAGUUUAGUGGGGCAAUGUCACCGGAAGAUGACAUGAUGGAGCUGAAAAGCAUGAAACAGGGGGAGCAAGAAACCCUUCGGGAAUUCAUCAAGAGGUUUCAUCGGGCCGUCCUCGACUUGGGAGCCUUCAACCACCCUCAGGCGUUAAGGGGAUUGAAAGAAGGGGUGAAGAUAGGAAGGCUGUGGUACAAUUUGAGAAGCCCAGCUAUUCAAACGUAUGCAGCCGCAUACGAACAGGCUAAAAGAGACAUCGAGAUUGAGGAGGAGAAGACUGCACGGAUCAAGACAGACCAGUUGGAAGGGUUAGGGAGGAAAGAGAAGAAAGCAUUACCGGGGAAUGGGCCGAUCAGGAGGAGGGACCACCAGGUCUCCGAUAGUGGAUCAGGAGGUAGGAUGAUUGCUUAUCAGCCUCAUCAGAGGCCGCCACAGUAUCAGCGCAGCAGGGCGCCACCUCCUCGUUCCCCAGCUAGGGAGCCUUGGAGAAGGCAUGAUUCGGCAUCCGGUGGUCUUCAUCAACAUUCCCACGGUAACAGGACGAGCAGACCAGAAGCACUUCCACCGCCCCCAACCCACAGUGGGGCAAACAGAGAAAGAGCAGUGCAUCUGGUCGACCAGAACCAGGACUAUGGGCGGUACACUCCCUUGAGGAUGCCCCUGGAUGAGGUGUACGAGGCCAUAAAGGAUCGAGGGCUGCUGCACCUCCCUACACCGAUAACCAAGCUGCCCAACAGAAGGGAUAGAGGACGUUAUUGUAAGUUCCAUGGCACCCAUGGCCAUACCACAGCAGAGUGUAGAGAUCUCAAGACCCAGGUCGAAGAUCUGGUGAGAAAUCGGUACCUGGACGAGUUUAUGGAUGGGACUUUUCCGAUGGUGGCCACAACAGAUGAAGGGGAGCAGAGUGAUAGAAUCUUGAGACGCGAGCAGCCCGCAGUAAGGGUGAUAGCUGGGGGCCCAACGUUGGCCGGAGAUUCGAACAGAUCGAGAAAAAAUUAUGCCAGAUACGCCAUGACCAGUAAAGAGAUACUCUUCAACACCCCAGCAGCCAAACGAGUAAGGGUCAGGCAAGUGCCAAUCAUGUGGACGGAUGAGGAUGAGGAAGGGAUUCUAUACCCCCACGAGGAUGCUUUAGUCAUCAAGGCUACGGUCGCUAGCAAGAAGUUUGACCGGAUACUGAUUGAUACGGGGAGCUCAGUUGAUGUGUUAUUUAAGUCAACUUUGGAACAGAUGGGAAUAGCCGACCGGAAGUUGGAAUACACCAACACCUCCUUGAAGGGGUUCGGAGGAGGGAAGCUGGUCCCUCUGGGCGUGGUCGAACUGCCUAUCACAAUCGGGAGCCCCCCGACAGAAAGAACAAUGAUACUGGACUUCGUCGUAGUGGAUGAGGAAGGUCCUUACCAGAUGAUCCUAGGUCGGCCAUUUUUAAGGAUGAGCAAAGCGGUGUUGUCCAACCAUUAUCUGGCUCUGAAGUACCGGGUGAAUGGGGUAGUCGGAGUGGUACGAGGAGACCAGAGGAUCGCAAGAAGCUGCUACUCCUCGGCAGCAAGGGAGGCGAUGCAGAUAACAUCCCUCGAUACCCGAGUGGAAAACAAGCCUGGCAGACAAGAACCCGUAGAGGAUCUGGAGACAGUAAGCAUGGGACCAGAGAACCCGGGAAAGACGAUCAGAAUCGGGUCGAGACUUAAGGGAGAGCAAAAGCGGGAGUUGGUGAAAUGCUUACAGGCUCAUGCUGACGUGUUUGCCUGGACACAUGAAGACAUGCUAGGGAUUGACCCAGAGGUAGCAUGUCAUAAGCUGGCAAUAAAGAAAGGUGCUCGAGCGGUAAGGCAGAAGAGGAGGUGCUUCAACCAGGAGAGGUAUGAGGCUGUAAAUGAUGAGGUGGAGAAGCUUCUGAGAGCAGGGUUCAUUCGGGAAGUCAAUUACCCAGAGUGGAUAUCAAAUGUGGUGUUGGUAAAGAAGGCAAACGGCAAGUGGAGGAUGUGUGUGGAUUUCACAGACCUCAAUAAGGCGUGCCCAAAAGACAGCUUCCCUUUACCAAAGAUCGAUCAGCUAGUAGAUUCGACGGCUGGACAUGGUCUGCUUAGCUUCAUGGACGCAUUCUCGGGAUACAACCAGAUCCCCAUGUACGAGUCGGAUGAGGAGAGCACGGCUUUCAUCACUAACCAAGGUUUGUUCUGUUACAGGGUGAUGCCAUUCGGUCUCAAGAAUGCUGGGGCCACCUAUCAAAGGCUGGUGAAUAAAGUCUUUAAGCCCUUGAUCGGGAAAACCAUGGAGGUGUACGUGGACGACAUGAUCACCAAGUCCAAAAUCCCGAAGGAACAUGUCAGACAUCUCGAGGAGACGUUCGAGCUUUUGAGGAAGUAUAAGAUGAAGCUCAACCCGGAGAAGUGUGCUUUUGGGGUCGAGUCAGGGAAAUUCUUGGGAUUCAUGGUGAGCCAUAGGGGGAUUGAAGCAAAUCCCGAGAAGAUCCAGGCGAUUGUGCAAAUGACGUCUCCUCGAAACCUGAAGGAGAUGCAGAGCCUCACGGGGAGGUUGGCGGCGUUGAGCAGAUUCAUAUCCAAGGCUACAGAUAAGUGUCAGCCAUUCUUUCAAGUGAUAAGGAGGGGAAAGAAAACGGAAUGGACCCCGGAAUGCGAGGAAGCCUUCCGGAACUUGAAGCAAUACUUGCAGCAAGCUCCGCUACUGUCCACACCGAGGGAUGGGGACAAGUUGAAUCUGUAUUUGGCGGUAUCGGAUCGGGCCGCCAGUUCCGUUCUGGUGAGAGAGGAAGAAGGAGUUCAGUAUCCGAUAUACUACACCAGCAAGGCCCUGCUCGACGCUGAGACCAGAUACCCACCGUUGGAAAAAUGGGCACUUGCCCUUGUGGUUGCUGCUCGGAAGUUGAGGCCAUACUUUCAAGCAUUCCCGGUCUCGGUAAUAACCAACCAGCCAUUGCGUCAAAUUCUGCACAAGCCAGAUGCCUCUGGUCGGCUCGUCAAGUGGGCUGUAGAGCUGAGCGAAUUCGACAUAGACUAUAAACCCCGCGCGGCGAUAAAGGCCCAGGCAAUGGCCGAUUUUGUAGCUGAGUUCGUAGAGCCCGAAGUAUGCUUAGAUCAACAAGGUGCAGAUAUAGGCGACGACGAAACUCAAGUAUGGCAGAUAUCUGUGGAUGGGUCAUCAGGAGAGCGGGGUUCAGGAGCAGGGAUUGUCCUGGAAGGCCCAGAGGGGGAGGAGAUCUCUUAUGCUGUAAAGUUGGAAUUUACAGCCACAAAUAACCAGGCAGAAUAUGAAGCCUUGAUAGCGGGUCUGGAAUUGGCUAGGGUCGUGAAAGCAGACAGAGUUAAGAUCAGAACUGAUUCCCAGCUGGUUGCGAAUCAUGUCAGUGAAAGAUUCCAACCAAGAGAGGAGAAGAUGGAACAGUACCUAAAGAUAGUCAGGCAGAUGAUGGGGAAGUUCAAAGCAGUGGAGGUGAUACAAAUCCCCAGGGAGCAGAACAGUCGAGCAGACAUUUUGGCUAGGAUGGCAGCCGUAGCCGACCCAAAAAUGCCAAAGUCGGUCCCCCUAGAAGUGAAGUCUCACCCAAGUAUCGAGCAAAAUUUGGGGGUGUUGCGGAUAGAGCAAAAAGGCUCGUGGAGGGACCCGAUAGUUUCAUACCUUAGAGACGGGGUCGUACCACCAGAUAAGCUGCGAGCUCGGAAGAUUAGAGCUCAGGCCUCGAGAUACACGAUGAUCGAUGGGGUACUGUAUCGGCGAGGAUAUACAUUACCGUUCCUUCGGUGUUUGGACGAUGACGACGCAGAUUACGUGCUGAGGGAAGUACAUGAAGGAAUUUGCGGAAAUCAUUCUGGCGGGAGGUCCCUGGCCCACAAGGUUCUAAGACAGGGAUAUUUCUGGCCGACGAUGCACCAGGAUGCGCAAAGGAAGACCAGGAGCUGUGCAAGCUGCCAGAGUUUUGCAAACUUCUCUAACCAACCACCAGAGAAGCUCACCUCCAUGGCCUCCCCUUGGCCAUUCGCUCAAUGGAGAAUUGAUCUGAUCGGCCCAUUGCCAAAGGGACGAGGAGCAGCAACACAUGCAAUAGUUGCUAUAGAUUACUUCACGAAGUGGAUAGAGGUAGAAGCCCUUAGCAGGAUCACAGAGAAGAAAACAACAGACUUCGUGUGGAGAAACCUGGUCUGUCGAUACGGGAUCCCAUAUGCCCUGGUAACGGAUAAUGGCAGGCAGUUCGAUAAUCACAGCUUCAGGGAUUUCUGCCAGAACCUCGGGAUAGAACUGAAGUAUUGCUCGCCUGCUCACCCUCAAUCGAAUGGACAAGUAGAAGCAGCCAACAAGACCGUCAAGAGGCUUCUGAAAACCAGGCUCGGAGCAAAAAAAGGUGCGUGGGUUGACGAGCUGUCAGGUGUGCUAUGGGCAUACAGAACAACCCACAAGACCGCAACUGGGGAGACACCGUUCGCUUUGGCUUUCGGACAUGAAGCGGUCGUGCCGGCUGAGAUAGGAACGACCACACACCGGACAGAGCACUUCAAUGAGCAGGAGAACGACGAGCAGAUAUGUUUGAAUCUUGAUCUGCUAAUGGAGAGGAGGGAACAAGCAGCCGAGCGAUCAGUCACUUACCAACAGAGGGUUGCUCGGUAUUAUAACCAGAAGGUGAACAUACGGCAAUUCAGGGUCGGAGACUGGGUACUGAGAAGAGUGAAUCAGAGCACCAAAGAUUCGACUCAAGGAGUGCUGGGACCGAAUUGGGAAGGGCCGUAUAGAGUCAAGCAGAUAGCGGGACCCGGAGCUUACAAGCUGGUUCGCGCGGACGGCCACGAAGUGAAACGCCCAUGGAACGCAGCACACCUCCGGAAAUACUUCCAGUAAGACUCGUUCACAUUUGAAAGCUGUUUUUGCUCAUGUUCAUUAUCGUUUAUUUUUCACGUUUUAUGUCCGAAUAAUUUCAUGUAAGUCAAAUCCUGCCAUUAAUGGAACGUCGACGAAUUUCAUUCGUUUGAAACCAAAAAAAUCCUAUGGCAUGCAAAGGCUCGCCAAGUCUCAGAGCCUGUCUUAUGGCGAGACAGAAGCCAAGCAUGCCAGGAUCUGCUCGGCCACGAGAAGGCAGCAGAAUCCAAAUCGUUUGAAGAAAAUCCUAUGGCAUGCAAAGGCUCACCAAGUCUCAGAGCCUGUCUUAUGGCGAGACAGAAGCCAAGCAUGCCAGGAUCUGCUCGGCCACGAGAAGGCAGCAGAAUCCAAAUCGUUUGAAGAAAAUCCUAUGGCAUGCAAAGGCUCGCCAAGUCUCAGAGCAUGUCUUAUGGCGAGACAGAAGCCAAGCAUGCCAGGAUCUGCUCGGCCACGAGAAGGCAGCAGAAUCCAAAUCGUUUGAAGAAAAUCCUAUGGCAUGCAAAGGCUCGCCAAGUCUCAGAGCAUGUCUUAUGGCGAGACAGAAGCCAAGCAUGCCAGGAUCUGCUCGGCCACGAGAAGGCAGCAGAAUCCAAAUCGUUUGAAGAAAAUCCUAUGGCAUGCAAAGGCUCGCCAAGUCUCAGAGCCUGUCUUAUGGCGAGACAGAAGCCAAGCAUGCCAGGAUCUGCUCGGCCACGAGAAGGCAGCAGAAUCCAAAUCGUUUGAAGAAAAUCCUAAGGCAUGCAAAGGCUCGCCAAGUCUCAGAGCCUGUCUUAUGGCGAGACAGAAGCCAAGCAUGCCAGGAUCUGCUCGGCCACGAGAAGGCAGCAGAAUCCAAAUCGUUUGAAGAAAAUCCUAAGGCAUGCAAAGGCUCGCCAAGUCUCAGAGCCUGUCUUAUGGCGAGACAGAAGCCAAGCAUGCCAGGAUCUGCUCGGCCACGAGAAGGCAGCAGAAUCCAAAUCGUUUGAAGAAAAUCCUAUGGCAUGCAAAGGCUCGCCAAGUCUCAGAGCCUGUCUUAUGGCGAGACAGAAGCCAAGCAUGCCAGGAUCUGCUCGGCCACGAGAAGGCAACAGAAUCCAAAUCGUUUGAAGAAAAUCCUAAGGCAUGCAAAGGCUCGCCAAGUCUCAGAGCCUGUCUUAUGGCGAGACAGAAGCCAAGCAUGCCAGGAUCUGCUCGGCCACGAGAAGGCAGCAGAAUCCAAAUCGUUUGAAGAAAAUCCUAAGGCAUGCAAAGGCUCGUCAAGUCUCAGAGCCUGUCUUGUGGCGAGACGGAAGCCAAGCAUAGGAUCUGUUCGACCGCGCGAUGGCAAACCGAAUCCCAGGCAUUGAAAAAUCUUCAAAGGCAUGUGGCAAAACCAUGAGCCAAGCCGGAACCUGCUCGUCUAGACAAAGACAAGCAGAUUCUCAAACGAAAAAUAAUUCAUAAUUACAACACGAGAAAGUAAUCAACAACAUUUUUAUUAAUGUGUUAAUGGCUAACAGAGGGAAUAAAUUUCAUAAACGUUGUUCAUUACAAUACAAAAAGAAAUAUAUCAAAAAGAUGGUGGAUCAGUGAGCCGAGCAGCAUCGGUCGGCUGGACCUCCUCGGGUGCAGGGGGGUAUCACCAGUUGCGUCCGGGGGGGUGCUCGCCUCGCCAACAUUAGCAGGGACUGCACGAGGAGGAGAGUUUUCCUCCUCGAUCACGAUCGGCUCUACCCCCUCGGUAUCUUCCUUGGCCGCCUCCUCAUCCAUAUGCUGAGCAACACCAGCUGCAAGGUCAUCCAUCUUCAGGUCAGGGUGUUGCUUCCCGAGGACGGCCAUGAUGCAACGAUAGGAAUGCCGAAGUCCCUGGUCGUACUGGUUGUCGGCCUCCCUCUCCAAGUUCUCGACCUGAGCUCGGUGGUUCUCGAUCUGAGCUCGGUGGGAGUCGCGGAGAGAUUCGAGCUGAGCCUCAUACAUAGCCUUCUGCCUUUGCAGAUCCUCCUUGACCUUGGUAAGCUCCUCCUCAAGGGUAAUGGCUUUUGCUUGAGCAAGUGAUUCUUGCUCUAUCAGCUUCAGGUUCUCGAGAUUCAGCUCCCCUGCUUUCUUCUCGGCAGCGUCAGCUCUGGUCGUCGCCGACUGAAUGUCCCCCUUCAUCUUCCGGUCGUAGCGGCCCACCUUAGCCUUGUAAUAGGUGGUCAUGCAGCUGAGGUGGAAGGCGCUAUGCUGAAUGGCCCCCACCAGCUCACCCAAGGUGCGGCCAUCAAAGUCCUCCAGCUCCUCCUUGCUCACGAGUUUAGCUAACUCAUUGAGGUAAGGGACCAGAGGUUCUGCUCGGCUGUCAGGUAAGCGAGAUCGAGGCCCGACAGGAGGAGAAGAGGUAGCGGGAUCUGUGGCUGCUCCACUAGCUUCCCCAACUUUUACAGGAGCAGGAGGUAAAAUCUUCAAGGGUGGGGCCUGCUGCACGAUGUUGGCCCGCUUUGCAGUAGGGCCAUCCUUACUCUCGUCCCUCUUCGUGGUUGGAGGUCGAGAACGUUUUCGGGUCAGAGCCGCCAUCACAGCGUCCUCCAUCCUAUGGCCAGGAAGUAUCAAGCGAGACUCGAGCAAGUUGUAUGUACUUAACAGUUCCCGGCUCGAGCAGGAAUUGGCCAGUACCGCCUCGACCCGUUUGAGCUGGUCAGGUCCGAGCGGGAAGUGGACACCCCAAGAAACUACAACACAAACAAGACACUUGGUUAGAAACAAGCCAAUAAAACAAGAACAAGUAUGGAUACAAGGCAUCUGAAGCAAGCAGGCAACCUGGGACCGUGAAACGGGGUGGGACCCGAUAAUCCCUCCCGUCCAUUUGUGCGACCUGACCCCACGGACCCCCAGCAAAAAAGAACUUUCUCUUCCAAUUCCCGCCACCACCAGUAGGGAGGUCGGUUAUAGGUUUCCUGCUCUUGGUGCUAGAUUGGAAGUAGUACCAGCCGGCAUCUUUGGGGCUGCUCUUUAGCUGGUACAGGUGCUUCACCUCAUCGACCGUGGGCUCGCUUUGGCAAAAUCUGUCCCACAAAAUGAACAGACCAGAGAGCACUCUCCACCCAUUGGGAUUCAGCUGACCAGGAGCCAGAUUUAGCCCGUUAAGUAUCCGGGCAAAGUAAGGUUGCAAGGGACACCUCAGCCCGUACUUAAAGCUGUCCAGAUACAGGGUAACAUAUCCCCUAGGAGGGCGGCUGGGAGCAUCCUUCUUUCCUGGGACCUUGAGAAGUAUUUCGCCAGGGAUGCUAUACCUCAGCCGGAGGUCCUCGAGCUCAUCAAACGUGGUCGUGCACGUCAUGUAAUCAAUAGCGUAGUCCCGCGAUAGGGCUCUACCUCCUAUUCUACUCCUCCCUUCUGGUCGCGGCGCUCCUGAUGGGGACGCCUCACCAGAAUCAUCCCCUUGACCCUCACUCAAGGUGUUCUCCGAUCCAGAAGAUCCUUCUUCAUCGCUACUGUCGCUCGAGGAGGUUGUUUGGGGAGACAUCCUCCUAGCGCUAGUACCAACACUAGACCUAAUGGGCUCUAAGGGGAUCCCGGGGUCAAAAGCGGGAUCAGCGAGCAGACUAGGUAGGAAGUCCAACUCGUCGUCAUCAACCUCAAUGACCUUCUCUUUGCCUUUCGACAUUCCCUAAACUCUAACCACAACGCCACCAACUACUACCCAAACGAAAGAAAAAAGAAGUUAUCUAUAAACUAUCCGAGACCGAGGAGAGAGAAGUAAUACCUGAAGCACUGCUCCAAUCGGAGAAAGGCAAGGAUGGGGCCUUUGCGCCGGAACUUCUUUGCCGGAGAAACAGAGACGGAGACGGAGUGAAUGGUGAAUAUGCCGUUCGAGAGGAUUCGGCUUUCCAAAUGAGGACGGACUCUUGGGUUGCCAGCAUAUAACUGCGCCGAAUCCCGAGGAAUCUCGUAACCGUCGGUUUGAAAUUCAAAUGGAGGGCGGGAUUUCUGCCACGUCACCUCGUCCGCAAUUAAAUGCGACAUGACUCUUGGCAGCCUUUUCCAAUCCCACGCGAGCGAGUACUAUCGAGUUUCUACUGCUGGUCCACUACAUUACCCAACACCAGAAACUGGGGGACCGAUGUUUGGGAGAGAUACUGUUUGGGAUAAAUACGUCGACGAGACCAGGAAUGACGAGCAGAUAUCUGAUGGCGGAGUUCUGCGAACCGGUGUGUUCCGUAAAAGCCUGGUGCGCGGAAGAACAGGAGCAGAAAUAUCCUGCUCGUCCACGAUGUUGUCAUCCGCGAGGCCAAUUCCCUAUAAAAGGCAUAAGGCCACUCCGGCUAGAGGUCAAGAGGCGAGGAGACCCGGUCGACGGCAGUUGGCAAGACGUGCUCUCCAGCACGAGAAUCUAGGCACAACAGCCACGCUUUCCCCAGAACCGUGGCGUAACACGUAAGAUCUCACAGAACCAUGACAGCCACGCUUUCCCCAGAACCGUGGCGUAACACGCAAAGUCUCACAGAGCCAUGACAGCCACGCUUUCCCCUGCACCGUGGCGUAACACGCUAGAUCCCACGUUUGCCCAUAACGCAGCAGUUGGAGUCCCAUACCGUCGGGAAAAGGGCGGAAGACUGAGAUUCAGAGGAAGCCUAUAAAAAGGUAGCCAACGAAGGUAAAAGGGUUGGCAUUUUUGAGAUAGAAGAAAAAAACCACGAAAAAGCCAUAAGACCUGUGGCAAGCGUUCCCUGAACCUUCAUAUCUGACUUGAGCGUCGGAGGGUUUGCGCCGGGGGAACAACCGGCGUACUCUGACUUGUCUGUUUGUGCAGGGACAUCCGGAGAAGAAGCAUUACUAGGAGACCUCCUGGUCGUGGUGAAGUUGAUCGAGCAGAGAUCCUGGUCGUGGAACGAGGAGAACCGGAAUCUCGCAUCAACAAAAACAAUAUUCAGUUUCUUGAUGCUAAAUGGCAUUAGCAAGUCAAGGAUCCUUUGUAAAAGGAAGACAUUCAUCCUCAAAUUCUAAUUCAGUAAAUAUUUGCUUUGUCCUUAAUAUAAAUGCAUUUGGAAAGUUGCUCUCUUUCUCACCUGACGAUCCUCUUGCUACCAUAGGUUAAAAAAAGAAAAAAAAAGUUUUAAGAGUAGCUUUCAGUCCCAGAAUUAUUUGAGAGGCCGACUUUUCCCAGAAUUAUUUGAGAGGCUGCUGUUUGACUCAGUCAAUAAUUGCUCCUAUUGAUCUCCAUCGUCCAAUUGGAAUUUCAGUAGUGAGGCAGGAUUGAUGCUUCCAAAAUGAAGAGUAUUAAAAAAGGAAGCAAGAUUAUUUUCACCUUGUUUUCUUCGAACAUUCCAGGCAAGUCGGUCCUUUUUUUUAUUUUGCUCUUUUUUUUCCUUCGAUUUUUCUCUUGAUCUCCACCAUCAAUUUGUUCUUUUCUUCCAACUUUUCUCUUGAUAACUUCAUCAGCGUACAUUAUACGCUUGCGUUUAAAAGGUUCAGUAGGCUUGCGACUGUGAACUGAAGCAGCAAACUGAGUGCAAACCACACUGUUUUUUAGGCAGAAAACGCGCAGGGGAACAGUGAGUACAGCAUGAUGUACAUCUCCCAAUUUGAGAUAUAAGAUCCCCUCUGUUUCAGCCCUGGCUUUGUAGCCAACACGUUCAAUCUUCAAAAGCCAAAAAAAAUUGGCUUCCAUCCCAGUUAAAGUAAAUUUAUCGUGUAAAUUUCCUCAAUAGCCGUCAUAGCAAGUGCUCGGAACCCCAGGUAAAUCAGUCCUUACAAUAGCUUUACCAAAAAAAAGAAAAAUUGAAAGACAUUGAUGUUUUCAAUGCCAAUGAAUUGUACAUGCAUAGCACGUCUAUACAAGUAUAGAAGAAGCUUUUAGUAUGUAUUUCAAAUGUCAUACCAAUUCAAGUCGGUGACAAGAAUCAUGGGAGCAUUCACAGGCAUCAUUUUGAUGAUCCUCUCUAUUUUACUCUUGGUCUUGUCUGCCGCGUCAGCAUCUAUGUCAACAGAUCGUAAAACGUAUAUUAUCCACAUGGACAAGUCGGCAAUGCCAGCUCCAUUUUCCACCCACCACCACUGGUACAUGUCCAUUCUUUCAUCCCUUUCUUCACCUGAUGGUGAUGCCCCAACCCAUCUCUACACCUACAACCAUGUCAUGGAUGGAUUCAGUGGCGUGUUAUCGCAGACGCACCUCGACAAACUCCAGAAAAUGCCAGGUCACCUUGCCACGUACCUGGAAACAUUUGGCCACCUGCACACCACCCACACCCCAAAAUUUCUCGGCCUAAAGAAACAAGCUGGGUUAUGGCCAGCUGCAGGUUUUGGUAGUCACGUUAUUGUGGGUGUUAUUGAUACUGGAGUUUGGCCAGAGAGUCCGAGCUUUAAAGAUGACGGCAUGCCUCCAGUGCCUGAGCGAUGGCGCGGUGCCUGUGAAGUGGGUGUUGAGUUUAAUGCUUCUCAUUGCAACAGAAAACUGAUAGGAGCACGCUCAUUCAGCAAAGGGCUGAAGCACUAUGGCUUGAACAUAUCAACAACAUUUGAUUAUGAUUCUCCGAGAGAUUUCUUGGGUCAUGGGACUCAUACAUCAUCAACAAUAGCCGGCAGUCGUGUUCAAAAUGCUAAUUACUUCGGCUACGCUGAAGGGACUGCAAUUGGAGUUGCACCAAUGGCGAGGAUUGCAAUGUACAAAAUAGCGUUCUACAAUGAUACUCUUAAGGCAGCAGCUGUUGAUGUUUUGGCUGGCAUGGAUCAAGCCAUAGCUGACGGUGUAGAUGUCAUGUCAUUGUCCCUGGCUUUCCCAGAGACAACAUUUGAUGAGAACCCAAUAGCCAUUGGAGCUUUUGCAGCAUUGAAGAAAGGAAUUUUUGUUGCCUGUGCAGCAGGAAAUUCAGGACCACGUCCAUACUCCAUACUAAAUGGAGCACCUUGGAUUACUACAGUUGCUGCAGGAACUGUUGACAGAGAGUUUGCAGCCUACGUCACCCUUGGCAAUGAAGAGCUAUCAGUUCUUGGAAAAUCUGUGUACCCGGAGAAUCUGUUUGUCUCCAGGGAACCUAUAUACUUCGGAUAUGGAAAUAGAUCCAAAGAAAUUUGUG
RNAcentral lists this long non-coding RNA (42717 nucleotides) under Citrus maxima (pomelo). Its description in RNAcentral is "long non-coding RNA (CMAX_LNC003299)". Lineage: Eukaryota; Viridiplantae; Streptophyta; Magnoliopsida; Sapindales; Rutaceae. The record is from RNAcentral.